UUGGAGGGCAAGUCUGGUGCCAGCAGCCGCGGUAAUUCCAGCUCCAAUAGCGUAUAUUAAAGUUGUUGCAGUUAAAAAGCUCGUAGUUGAAUUUCGGGAUCAGAGUGUCGGUCGUGCCUCGGUACGCACUGGUAUUAUUGGUUCCUACCUUCUGAAGAACCGCGAUGUCAUUAAUUUGGUGUCGUGGGGAAUCAGGACUGUUACUUUGAAAAAAUUAGAGUGUUUAAAGCAGGCUUACGCUUGAAUACAUUAGCAUGGAAUAAUGAAAUAGGACGUUUGAUUCUAUUUUGUUGGUUUCUAGGAUUGACGUAAUGAUUAAUAGGGAUAGUUGGGGGCAUUAGUAUUCAAUUGUCAGAGGUGAAAUUCUUGGAUUUAUUGAAGACUAACUACUGCGAAAGCAUUUGCCAAGGAUGUUUUCAUUGAUCAAGAACGAAAGUUAGGGGAUCGAAGACGAUCAGAUACCGUCGUAGUCUUAACCAUAAACUAUGCCGACUAGGGAUCGGAUGAUGUUAAUUUUUUAAUGACUCAUUCGGCGCCUUACGGGAAAC
Molecule: ribosomal RNA, 548 nt
Filed under: uncultured Glomeromycotina
Lineage: Eukaryota; Fungi; Glomeromycota
Description: SSU rRNA
Rfam family: Eukaryotic small subunit ribosomal RNA
Source: RNAcentral